This 1187-nucleotide long non-coding RNA is filed under the name Dendronephthya gigantea. Its description in RNAcentral is "uncharacterized LOC114540418, transcript variant X2". Lineage: Eukaryota; Metazoa; Cnidaria; Anthozoa; Malacalcyonacea; Nephtheidae. The record is from RNAcentral.
UUACAAAACCAACUCGAAGCUAAAGAACAGGAACAUAUCGUCAAAAGGAAUGGAGACUUUGGACAAACUGAAGGAAAGUGAUGUCACAAUACAUACGCUAAAUCAAUCAAUCGCAAACUUAAAGAGCAACAUGGACCAACAGAACCAGGAAUAUUCCAGAUUAACUGUAGCAAAGGAUGUUGAAUUGGAAACGUUGCAUCAACAGGAUGCCAAGAUGUGAUCUGAACUCGCGCAGAGAAAAAAUGAUUUUGAGAGGAGGCAGAAAGAGUUGUCUUUAUCUUUGGAGAGAGAGUCGUCGUUGGAACGUUCUAGGGCUCAGCUAGAGUUAGAUUAGCAGCGCAGAUGUGAAGAGACAGAGAGAACUGGGUAUGAUAAACAAGAAAAACUGGUUAAGAAUUUAACACAAGGCGAAGAAGAGGCGUUAUCGUUAGUGAAACAACAGAAACGUAAACUGCUUCACAAGGAUAGUGUUAUCCACAUUUUGAAGACACAAAGAGAUGAAUCAGUUUCUAUCCUCAAGCUUCAUGGACUAACCGUGCCUUCCCAAAUAUCAGUCGAAGAUGUUGGCACAGCAGCAGCGAAUAUGAAUAAUGAAGAACUUCAAGUUCAGAACGAAAAUUUGCGUCAUGUUAUUCAUCAAAUGGGAGAGGACAUGGAGGAUUUGACGAAACAGUUAAAGAUUGAAGUAAGGAUAAUGUUCAUAUAAGAGGUCUGGUGGCACAGCUGAACAGCACAAUCGGUAGUUUACGCCAAGAGAAAUUAGAUCUUACAUCUCAAUUGGGAAAAUGUAAAGCAAUUAUCGUUCAUCUUCAAUGUUUACUUCAUCAUUCUUCAGAAGAGGUUCGUCAGAAGCAACUAAACAUAUCAACUUCACUAUCAGUUGACAACAGGGAAUCGUCGGGCCAACGAAGAAAUGAAUGCUUUGAAGCAGCAGAACUCUGAUCUCAAGGUAACCCAAAAAAGACACCAGGCUGACGAAUUUUACAAAACGGGUUUGGAGAGAAAUAUUGAUGCUGUAUCAUUAGGAAACCAGAUAAACUACCCGAGGUAGAAGUAUUAGCAACAUCUAGUCAAGAAUUGUGUGACAGGCAGCAGAUGAUUGCAUUUUCUCAUUGCUUUUCUGCUGUUGUCAGCAUUAAAAUUGGAUCUUGCUAGUCACGGAAAACCUUUGAAUACGUACAAUCCAG